RNAcentral lists this long non-coding RNA (480 nucleotides) under Ovis aries (sheep). RNAcentral's name for it is "lncRNA (ENSOARG00000026290.1)". The record is from RNAcentral. Lineage: Eukaryota; Metazoa; Chordata; Mammalia; Artiodactyla; Bovidae.
AUGCAUUCGGAUAUUAAAUUAGAGGUGACUGUGGGAAUAAAGAUGAAGCUGGAGAGCAGGAGGUGGUGGAGUAAUGUCUUAUGCCUGGUGAUAAAUGAAAAUGCUGAAUUUCCACAGAGACAUCCUAUGAAGGACUCAGCUGGAAAAUAUUCAGUGGUGCUGCUGACAGCAAAGCUGCAAGGUUCCCAUCACAAUCAUCAGAACUCCAUGCCCACGAGGAGGAUGAGCUUGGAAGAGACAGGUCAAGGAUCGCCCUCCCGCCCUGCCCAAGGGGACCCUCCCAGAGUAGCCUCCUGCGCGACUGCGACCGCGCGGCACCCCAAGGUCACGACGAAAAGCUCAUCUCUGUACCUAAAAUGCAGCAGGACCAACGACUCAGAGCGCAGGAUGUGUAUUCACAAUGCAAUCAUUAACAGCCAUUAAUCCUGGGCCCUGUGCGUCUGUUUAGGAUUUGACAACACUCUUCAGAAACCAGUCACG